RNAcentral lists this small RNA (128 nucleotides) under Salmonella enterica subsp. enterica serovar Itami str. SA20014991. RNAcentral describes it as "Hfq binding sRNA". It matches the Rfam family "STnc490 Hfq binding RNA". The record is from RNAcentral. Lineage: Bacteria; Pseudomonadati; Pseudomonadota; Gammaproteobacteria; Enterobacterales; Enterobacteriaceae.
AACCCCCAGCUAGGCUGGGGGUUCCGGAAAGCUUUCAGCUUUAAGCCAGUUAUUAAAACCCCUUUUGAUUUGUUAAAACAUCUUGCGGUCUGGCAACUGCAAAAAGUUCAACAAAGAAAAUCCAAAAG